UAAAGACACAGAAGAUGAAUAGCGGGUUUAGAACCCGCUCUGCUCUGCCAUCUUUAU
Molecule: transfer RNA, 57 nt
Filed under: Flustrellidra hispida
Lineage: Eukaryota; Metazoa; Bryozoa; Gymnolaemata; Ctenostomatida; Flustrellidridae
Description: tRNA-Leu
Source: RNAcentral